UCAUCACUCUCCCAGUUCCUCGGCCAAAAUUGACUGUAGUCGUCAUCGAUCGUACCACCAUCAUCAACACCCCCAGCGGAAAAAGCACCACAGUACAAGCUACCUUCCUCACCAUCUGAGCACUAGCUACCUUACUGUGUAUAUGAUGUGGCUCCAGUGUUUCCAUUAGUCAGCGUUGGAGACAGCAACACAGCCAGCAUUUUCAGAAUAGCAUCCACGACACACAUUCCAAUGAUAACGGCCUUAGAGGUAGCACCAAGAUUGCCCCUGCGUCGUCAUAUUUUGGUAUAGCAUUCUGAGAGCAUACAUAGGGUUCUAGGAACUGCCGGAACAAAGCUGCGAGUAUUUUUUGCAACAAUGUGCCUGCACAUGGUAUAUGUUUCAAAAGAAGGAGUCGUAUGUUUGCAUGGAAGGACAAUAUUCUAGAUUCACUCCGACUGACGAGGCCAAUAGACACUCGCUACAGCGUCUGCGGUGAUAUGAUGACAUAGCGGAAACUGCAGUUCUGGAGGAUGUUCAUUCCCUAAGUAAAUUUUUCAAUGCAGUGGAGUUCCAACUGGCAAACGCGAAACAUCGGUUUCAACCGACUUAUCAAAAGGAGGGUUUAGACUUCCGGUAUCAUCAUAUAUAGUGUUUGCGCAGAAGUUCAGCUGCAAUCAACUGCGAUUAUAUUUGUCGAAGGUUUCUAUUCACGCUAUUUCAUGGCCUUACCAAUCGGAUGGAUUCAAAUUACGUUCUGCCCUACUUUAUUUUUCUUCAGAACAUCUUAUUGAAAUUAUGCAAAUAGAAAACAAUAUGUUAUGAACCGAUGGAACAGGACGAAACAUUAUUGGAAAGGAUUUGGCGAGGUUCACGGUAGCGAUCCAGAACUUUCUUUUAUUUCUUUUUGUUUGACCUCUUCGACGAACUAAGCUUAUGCCAUCAAUAUACAGGAUCGAUUUUUUCAUGGUUUCUGGAUGCUGAAGGAUAUGAUGGACUAAGUAAUGAUUCGGAGAUUGUUGAUGUAUGAAAUAAUAUGAUAAUGUAAUAACAAUCAACGGGUUAUUUAAUAAAUAA
Uranotaenia lowii is the source of this 1056-nucleotide long non-coding RNA. RefSeq lists it as uncharacterized. The transcript has 4 exons. The record is from RefSeq and is a predicted model, not a curated record. Lineage: Eukaryota; Metazoa; Arthropoda; Insecta; Diptera; Culicidae.